RNAcentral lists this ribosomal RNA (253 nucleotides) under uncultured bacterium. Its description in RNAcentral is "partial 16S ribosomal RNA". It matches the Rfam family "Bacterial small subunit ribosomal RNA", at positions 524 to 776 of the family's 1533-position model. The record is from RNAcentral.
UACGUAGGGUGCGAGCGUUGUCCGGAAUUAUUGGGCGUAAAGAGCUCGUAGGCGGUUUGUCGCGUCGACUGUGAAAACCCGAGGCUUAACCUCGGGCCUGCAGUCGAUACGGGCAGACUAGAGUUCGGUAGGGGAGACUGAAAUUCCUGGUGUAGCGGUGAAAUGCGCAGAUAUCAGGAGGAACACCGGUGGCGAAGGCGGGUCUCUGGGCCGAUACUGACGCUGAGGAGCGAAAGCGUGGGGAGCGAACAGG